This is a long non-coding RNA of Bolinopsis microptera, 413 nucleotides long. RefSeq lists it as uncharacterized. The transcript has 4 exons. The record is from RefSeq and is a predicted model, not a curated record. Lineage: Eukaryota; Metazoa; Ctenophora; Tentaculata; Lobata; Bolinopsidae.
CUUUCAUGGACGCGAUCAACUCAGGACAGGUCGACUGUGCUAGAUGGCUGCUGAGGCAAGACGGUUGAAAGCUCCAGCCCGAGAUAUGGUCGUUUUGUAGGGAGAGGGGGCUAGAGUCAGUGCUAACAGCUUAACAGAAGCAAGGUACGGAGAGCGAUCCAUGGCUGUCCCGAUAGACCCACUCAGACUCCUGCCGGAAGAUACUCCUCCGGUUGAUCCAGAUGAGACAGUUCUAGCAGAUGAUCAGUUACAGACUGAAGAACAUAUCCCACAGAUCAAUGCGUCAACAUCUGCAAAUGAAGCUGAUAUCAGAAUCGAAAUGAUGAUGGUACUACACGAGAUGCUCAUGGAAAAGGUAUCAGUUUGCUUUCCUCCUCCCACGAGCAGUACAAAGUGUGGGUUCAACUUUAAUC